UACAAUCACAUAAAACAAAAAAAAAUUCUAAUACACCCCUAAUCUUCAAACUAAAUAAUCAACUUAGUGAAGAAUACACACUUGGGGAAAAAAAGUAAACAACAAUUGAACAAAUUAAAAUCAAUCCACUAUACAUCCAAAAAAAUUCAGAAGUAUAAAAAGUUCAGCUAUCAGCAGUCAUCUCCUUCAACAAACAAACUCAUAACUUAUAAGGCCUGUAACUAUAAUUGAAAUGGUGUCAACUAAAACCUGUCGCAAGAGCCGCAGCUAGGAUUUCUUUGGUGUUUGAAUGAAGUUUUUUGGUUACUGCUAAGGAUGAGGCAGACAUAAAAGUGAUGCAUUACAAGCUUAAAAAUCUGUCCUAGCAAGAAGUACACUUGUUUGCUUAUUGCAGAUAGCUA
This 401-nucleotide unclassified non-coding RNA is filed under the name Hevea brasiliensis (rubber tree). The record is from RNAcentral. Lineage: Eukaryota; Viridiplantae; Streptophyta; Magnoliopsida; Malpighiales; Euphorbiaceae.